GUCGACGCUUUUUCUUUCACCGGAGCUUGCUCCACCGAAAGAAAAAGAGUCGGCGAAUCGGGUGAGUAACACGUGGGUAACCUGCCCAUCAGAAGGGGAUAACACUUGGAAACAGGUGCUAAUACCGUAUAACACUAUUUUCCGCAUGGAAGAAAGUUGAAAGGCGCUUUUGCGUCACUGAUGGAUGGACCCGCGGUGCAUUAGCUAGUUGGUGAGGUAACGGCUCACCAAGGCAACGAUGCAUAGCCGACCUGAGAGGGUGAUCGGCCACACUGGGACUGAGACACGGCCCAGACUCCUACGGGAGGCAGCAGUAGGGAAUCUUCGGCAAUGGACGAAAGUCUGACCGAGCAACGCCGCGUGAGUGAAGAAGGUUUUCGGAUCGUAAAACUCUGUUGUUAGAGAAGAACAAGGAUGAGAGUAAAACGUUCAUCCCUUGACGGUAUCUAACCAGAAAGCCACGGCUAACUACGUGCCAGCAGCCGCGGUAAUACGUAGGUGGCAAGCGUUGUCCGGAUUUAUUGGGCGUAAAGCGAGCGCAGGCGGUUUCUUAAGUCUGAUGUGAAAGCCCCCGGCUCAACCGGGGAGGGUCAUUGGAAACUGGGAGACUUGAGUGCAGAAGAGGAGAGUGGAAUUCCAUGUGUAGCGGUGA
This 652-nucleotide ribosomal RNA is filed under the name uncultured bacterium. RNAcentral describes it as "bacterial SSU rRNA". It matches the Rfam family "Bacterial small subunit ribosomal RNA", at positions 61 to 684 of the family's 1533-position model. The record is from RNAcentral.